GAUGAACGCUGGCGGCGUGCCUAAUACAUGCAAGUCGAGCGAACAGACGAGGAGCUUGCUCCUCUGACGUUAGCGGCGGACGGGUGAGUCACACGUGGAUAACCUCCCUAUCAGACUGGGAUCACUUCGGGAAACCGGCGCUAAUACCGGAUAAUAUAUUGAACCGCAUGGUUCAAUGGUGAAAGACGGCUUUUCUGUAUGUUAUAGAUGGAUUCGAGCCGCAUUAGCUAGUUGGUAAGGUAACGGCUUACCAAGGCAACGAUGCCUAGCCGACCUGAGAGGGGGAUCGGCCACACUGGAACUGAGACACGGUCCAGGCUCCGACGGGAGGCAGAAGUAGGGAAGCUUCCGCGAUGGGCGAAAGCCUGACGGAGCAACGCCGCGUGAGUGAUGAAGGGCUUCGGAUCGUAAAACGCUGUUAUUAGGGAAGAACAAAUGUGUAAGUAACUAUGCACGUCUUGACGGUACCUAUACAGAAAGCCACGGCUAACUACGU
Molecule: ribosomal RNA, 496 nt
Filed under: uncultured bacterium
Lineage: Bacteria
Description: partial 16S ribosomal RNA
Rfam family: Bacterial small subunit ribosomal RNA
Source: RNAcentral